AAGACUAUACUUUCAGGGAUCAUUUCAAAAGUUUGUGACUAGAGAAGUUUCUCUGAAUGUGUAAAACUACCCUUAGGCUUUUCAAAAUGUCCAGGCU
Molecule: small nucleolar RNA, 97 nt
Organism: Camelus dromedarius (Arabian camel)
Lineage: Eukaryota; Metazoa; Chordata; Mammalia; Artiodactyla; Camelidae
Gene: U3
Rfam family: Small nucleolar RNA U3
About the family: Small nucleolar RNAs (snoRNAs) are involved in the processing and modification of rRNA in the nucleolus.
Source: Ensembl